AAAACCUAUGGAAUUGACAAAGAUUGAUUUUGGAUAUUGUUUGCCGGUGGGAAAGGAUGGGCGGGCCGAACUUUUCUUCGGCCGAUGAGGAUAUUGAUCUAUGAGGAAUAGCUAAAGUCGGGCUUAAUGCUUUCGCUCGACCCACUUAAUAUCAAAGUCCUUCAAUACUACCAACUUUCUGCUCAUCAACUUCACCCGAACUCAU
Molecule: unclassified non-coding RNA, 205 nt
Filed under: Hevea brasiliensis (rubber tree)
Lineage: Eukaryota; Viridiplantae; Streptophyta; Magnoliopsida; Malpighiales; Euphorbiaceae
Source: RNAcentral